This 449-nucleotide ribosomal RNA is filed under the name uncultured bacterium. RNAcentral's name for it is "bacterial SSU rRNA". It matches the Rfam family "Bacterial small subunit ribosomal RNA", at positions 328 to 794 of the family's 1533-position model. The record is from RNAcentral.
CGACCAGACUCCUACGGGAGGCAGCAGCGGGGAAUAUUGCACAAUGGGGGAAACCCUGAUGCAGCGACGCCGCGUGAAGGAAGAAGGAUUUCGGUAUGUAAACUUCUAUCAGCAGGGAAGAAAAUGACGGUACCUGACUAAGAAGCCCCGGCUAACUACGUGCCAGCAGCCGCGGUAAUACGUAGGGGGCAAGCGGUAUCCGGAUUUACUGGGUGUAAAGGGAGCGUAGACGGCAGUGCAAGUCCGGAGUGAAAGCCCGGGGCUCAACCCUGGGACUGCUCUGGAAACUGUAAAGCUGGAGUGCGGGAGGGGCAGGCGGAAUUCCUGGUGUAGCGGUGAAAUGCGUAGAUAUCAGGAGGAACACCGGCGGCGAAGGCGGCCUGCUGGACCGUAACUGACGUUGAGGCUCGAAAGCGUGGGGAGCAAACAGGAUUAGAUACCCGAGUAUU